This 107-nucleotide non-coding RNA is filed under the name Roseovarius sp. RNAcentral's name for it is "SAM-I-IV sequence". It matches the Rfam family "SAM-I/IV (S-adenosyl methionine) riboswitch aptamer". Rfam says of the family: It is found upstream of a number of genes which code for proteins involved in methionine or cysteine biosynthesis. It has been found mostly in the order Actinomycetales. The record is from RNAcentral. Lineage: Bacteria; Pseudomonadati; Pseudomonadota; Alphaproteobacteria; Rhodobacterales; Roseobacteraceae.
UACCUGCAUCAAGAGUGGGCGCUGAGCCUGCACCAACCUGCUGACCCAGCAAGGUGGUUCCCCUCUAGGGAGAUGCGGCCGAAGAUUAGGCAACGAAAGGGUCUCCC